This 468-nucleotide ribosomal RNA is filed under the name uncultured bacterium. Its description in RNAcentral is "partial 16S ribosomal RNA". It matches the Rfam family "Bacterial small subunit ribosomal RNA", at positions 28 to 507 of the family's 1533-position model. The record is from RNAcentral.
GACGAACGCUGGCGGCGUGCUUAACACAUGCAAGUCGAACGGAAAGGCCCUGCUUUUGUGGGGUGCUCGAGUGGCGAACGGGUGAGUAACACGUGAGUAACCUGCCCUUGACUUUGGGAUAACUUCAGGAAACUGGGGCUAAUACCGGAUAGGAGCUCCUGCUGCAUGGUGGGGGUUGGAAAGUUUCGGCGGUUGGGGAUGGACUCGCGGCUUAUCAGCUUGUUGGUGGGGUAGUGGCUUACCAAGGCUUUGACGGGUAGCCGGCCUGAGAGGGUGACCGGCCACCUUGGGACUGAGAUACGGCCCAGACUCCUACGGGAGGCAGCAGUGAGGAAUAUUGCACAAUGGGCGGAAGCCUGAUGCAGCAACGCCGCGUGCGGGAUGACGGCCUUCGGGUUGUAAACCGCUUUCGACUGUGACGAAGCGUGAGUGACGGUAAUGGGUAAAGAAGCACCGGCUAACUACGUG